Molecule: non-coding RNA, 468 nt
Filed under: Kitasatospora aureofaciens
Lineage: Bacteria; Bacillati; Actinomycetota; Actinomycetes; Kitasatosporales; Streptomycetaceae
Source: RNAcentral
GAGGCCCAGGCGGGGGCGUCGAAGAAGUCGCCCUCGCCGAGCACGGCCAGCAGGGCGUCGUCGCCGUAGGUGCCGGUGGCACGCUUCUCGGCCCGGCCGAAGGCGAUGAUGUGCAGCUGGUCGGCCGGGGCGUCGGCGUCGACGAUCAGCUCGCCGGGCGCGACCUCGCGCUCGGUGAACCCGGCCGCGAGCGCGGAGAGCACCGGGCCGUCGACCUGGCUGAGGAAGGCCAGUUCGCGCAGGUCCUCGGCGAUGAUCCGGGUGGCGCCGCCGCCGUCGACGUACGUGCUGACCAGCCCGUCGCCGAGGAUGAAGCCCCGGCGGCGGUUGACCCGGUAGACGCCCGCCUCCAGGUCCACCCAGGGCAGCGCCCGCAGCAGGUACCGGGGGGUGAUCCCGAGCAUCUGCGGGACGGUCUUGGUGGUGGUGGCGAGGUUCCGGGCGGCGGAGGUGCUGAGGCUCUGCCGG